GUAUGUUAAUAGCAUAUUCAUUUGACGUUAGCUGCAGAAGAAGCACCGGCUAACUCCGUGCCAGCAGCCGCGGUAAUACGGAGGGUGCGAGCGUUAAUCGGAAUUACUGGGCGUAAAGCGCAUGCAGGUGGUUUGUUAAGUCAGAUGUGAAAGCCCGGGGCUCAACCUCGGAAUUGCAUUUGAAACUGGCAAACUAGAGUACUGUAGAGGGGGUAGAAUUUCAGGUGUAGCGGUGAAAUGCGUAGAGAUCUGAAGGAAUACCGGUGGCGAAGGCCGGCCCCCUGGACAGAUACUGACACUCAGAUGCGAAAGCGUGGGGAGCAAACAGAAUUAGAUACCCUGGUAG
RNAcentral lists this ribosomal RNA (346 nucleotides) under uncultured bacterium. Its description in RNAcentral is "bacterial SSU rRNA". It matches the Rfam family "Bacterial small subunit ribosomal RNA", at positions 450 to 793 of the family's 1533-position model. The record is from RNAcentral.